AUGAUUCAAUGUUUGGAUCACUCAGCUUCACGGACAUUUUACGAACAGGAACUACGGAAACUUGUGAGGAUAGUCCAAGAGGUCCAAAAAAGCAUGGGAAAUAAAGAUAGCGGAGAGGGAUCUGAUAAAAAGCUUUCCAGGGCGAAGAAACCACUCAUCAUGUUCCUUCGCUCCCUUGCAAAGAAGACACUUGAAUAG
Molecule: ribosomal RNA, 198 nt
Filed under: Triticum aestivum (bread wheat)
Lineage: Eukaryota; Viridiplantae; Streptophyta; Magnoliopsida; Poales; Poaceae
Description: partial small subunit ribosomal RNA
Source: RNAcentral